GCGUGCGCAGGCGGUUAUGUAAAGACAGAUGUGAAAUCCCCCGGGCUCAACCUGGGAACUGCAUUAGUGACUGCAUAGCUGGAGUACGGCAGAGGGGGAUGGAAUUCCGCGUGUAGCAGUGAAAUGCGUAGAUAUGCGGAGGAACACCGAUGGCGAAGGCAAUCCCCUGGGCCUGUACUGACGCUCAUGCACGAAAGCGGUGGGGAGCAAACAGGAUUAGAACCCCUAGU
RNAcentral lists this ribosomal RNA (230 nucleotides) under uncultured bacterium. Its description in RNAcentral is "partial 16S ribosomal RNA". It matches the Rfam family "Bacterial small subunit ribosomal RNA", at positions 565 to 791 of the family's 1533-position model. The record is from RNAcentral.